This is a non-coding RNA of Dermatophagoides farinae (American house dust mite), 471 nucleotides long. The record is from RefSeq and is a predicted model, not a curated record. NCBI's taxonomy places the organism in Eukaryota, Metazoa, Arthropoda, Arachnida, Sarcoptiformes, Pyroglyphidae.
UCUUGUAACAGACUUUAUGACGAGCCAUCAGCAAUGAUGACUGUUAAUCAUUGGCGCGAAAAACGAACAUAUAAAAGAUCAAGAGACGAGUCGAAAGUUGUUGUCAUUUUUUCUAUAGUGAGUAUAAGUGUCUCCAGUUUCAUGUUCUUCUUGUGCUCGUGUUUUUCUUGUUUUCUUGUGUUAUGAGUUUCUCAUGUAUGUUUUUUGUUUCUCCAAUAUUUUUCGAGAAGAGAUAAUCAAUCUGUACCUGCUGGAUCCAAAGGAAAAACGCUGUUCAUGUCAUCAUCAUCGCUAAUUCAGUAAAUCGGAUUCAUCACGAAACAAUAUUGUCGAAUAAUUUAUUUCUUACAUCAUUAUUUCUAUCCUUUUAACAUACCAUUAUAUUCAACACAAUAAACGAAUGAUUUCUUUUAAAAACAACCAGUAGCGUUGGCGACACCACCGCCAUCAAUAUACGCCCCUUUUGUGUAU